AUUCAUCUGACGAGUCCCAAAUAGGACGAAACGUGCAUCCUGGAC
This is a non-coding RNA of Schistosoma curassoni, 45 nucleotides long. The record is from Rfam. NCBI's taxonomy places the organism in Eukaryota, Metazoa, Platyhelminthes, Trematoda, Strigeidida, Schistosomatidae.